GUGCUCACUUCCUCAGCACUUAUACUAAAAUUGGAACAAUACGGAGAAGAUAAGCAUGGCUCCUGCCCAAGGAUGACCAGCAAAUUUAUUAUGUGUCCCAUAUUUGA
This is a small nuclear RNA of Perognathus longimembris pacificus (Pacific pocket mouse), 107 nucleotides long. The record is from RefSeq and is a predicted model, not a curated record. Lineage: Eukaryota; Metazoa; Chordata; Mammalia; Rodentia; Heteromyidae.